GGAGGUCGUGCGCCCAGUUGGACGUCUUCUUAAUAAUUUACCAGCGAAAUGAUCUGUGGACUAAGAAUUAUGAAUUAAUAACUCAAACGCUGACGAAACCGGAUUGGCUGACUUCGAUGAUGACACCUGCCAUUACGCUUCCUGCGCUGCUGCUUCACAACUCUCCCACCAAUCAAAUGCUGACUGAAAAUCAUGAAUCAUACUGAAUGGGCCGCUAGCUGAUUACUGUGACAGUCAUUGAUUUUUUAUGCUUUUUGAUGUAACAGGGAGCGGAGGGACACUGAGCUCUGUCCCGCAGCUGCCCUGGGGGAUG
This is a non-coding RNA of Chrysemys picta bellii (western painted turtle), 313 nucleotides long. The record is from RefSeq and is a predicted model, not a curated record. Lineage: Eukaryota; Metazoa; Chordata; Testudines; Emydidae.